This is a non-coding RNA of Podarcis lilfordi (Lilford's wall lizard), 70 nucleotides long. NCBI's taxonomy places the organism in Eukaryota, Metazoa, Chordata, Lepidosauria, Squamata, Lacertidae. The record is from the annotation of a GenBank genome assembly.
UGCAUAGCUCAGUCGGUAGUGUGUCAGACUCUUAAUCUCAGGAUCAUGGGUUGGAGUCCCUUGGACAAAA